CAGCCGCCGCGGUAAUACGAGGGGGGCAAGCGUUGUUCGGAAUUAUUGGGCGUAAAGGGUGCGUAGGCGGUUUGGCAAGUCUUGUGUGAAAUCUUCGGGCUCAACCCGAAGCCUGCACGAGAAACUGCCGGGCUUGAGUAUUGGAGAGGUGAGUGGAAUUUCCGGUGUAGCGGUGAAAUGCGUAGAUAUCGGAAGGAACACCUGUGGCGAAAGCGGCUCACUGGACAAUAACUGACGCUGAUGCACGAAAGCUAGGGGAGCAAACAGGAUUAGAUACCCCUGUAGCCCUGUCUCUUAUACA
RNAcentral lists this ribosomal RNA (301 nucleotides) under uncultured bacterium. RNAcentral's name for it is "partial 16S ribosomal RNA". It matches the Rfam family "Bacterial small subunit ribosomal RNA", at positions 509 to 809 of the family's 1533-position model. The record is from RNAcentral.